GUGGGAUCCUCAUUAAAAGAUGAGUUCAACCCUUCUGUUAUGGUGGCUGACUGCUUUUACUGAAUUGGAGGUGUUGUUUGGGAACCCAAAGUUGAGGAUUACAAGACCCUCCUUGAGCACAUCCACCUUUUCACCCAGGCUCCUACGAACUCAACAAAAUGAUGUGGAAGGUUUUCCGGGGAUGUUCAAGGUCAAGUCUUUUUAUUCUCUCGUGAGAGAGUGCGAUCAUCAAAGAGAGGUGGGGAGCAUAAGUUUUGUUUGGUUUUAUAAUGUCCCUCCAAAGAUAGCUAUGCUCGGAUGGUUGGUUGGAAGGAAAAAAGUUCUAACCAACGUCAACCUCUAGAAAAGUGUUAUGGUGAUCCCAAAUAUCUGUAUCUUGUGUAUGCAUGAUGAGGAGACAGUGGACCAUCUUUUUGUGCAUUGCCCUUUUGUGGGCCCAAUUUGGGUGGAUAUGUUGAGCAGCUUUCACAUGAUGUGGUCUUCUUUGAUGUCGGCGGGUUGUUUGUUGUAUGCUUGGCAUGGAGUGGGCCUAGGGAAAGAGAGUGCCUUGGAGAAUGUCUUUGCUUGCAAUUUGGUGGGCUGUUUGGGAAGAAAAAUGCUAGGUGCUUCAAUAAUUUUAGGAGGUCAUAGGAGAGCAUUUUCUAGAGGGCUAGAGGGCUGGUAAUUGAAUGGGCGUGUAGUGUUUCAAAAUUAAAGGGUUGUAAUUUGGAUAUGCUUGGGUAGUGUCCGGUUGUUCUCUCACUGCCCCUUUAUGUUGUUGCUUUUGUUCUUUUUUCUUUUAAUUCUUUAAUAAAAUUCUCAUUAUCUUUCAAAAUAAUAAUAAUAAUAAUAAUAAUAAUUCUGGAGCACCCUUUCCUUGGAUCUUCUGUUUGUUUCGUGUAUCUACAUUUGACGUAACUCUGUGUUCUAUAUUUUCUUACCGAAUGAUUACACUUUUAAGGUCACAUUUUUUUUUUCCUCUGCCAUCAAAUUUGUUCUCAUAUGCGUAACCUGCUCAAUGACAAGAUUGGCUUGAUCUUUUGGGGCCAUGGCAGUUACACCGUGGGGCUCAAUGAAUGAAUUAUCCAGAUCUUUCACAUAUGUGAGAGUGGUGUUUGAGACCCCACUUUCUGGAGGAGCCAGGCUCCUCCGAACUCAACAAAAUGAUGGGGAAGGUUUGCUGGGGAUGUUCAAGGUCAAGUCUUUUUAUUCUCUCGUGAGAGGGUGCGAUCAUCAAAGAGAAGUGGGGAGCAUAAGUUUUGUUUGGUUUUAUAAUGUCCCUCCAAAGAUAGCUAUGCUCGGAUGGUUGGUUGGAAGGAAAAAGUUCUACCAACGUCAACCUCUAGAAAAGAGUUAUGGUGAUCCCAAAUAUCUGUAUCUUGUGUAUGCAUGAUGAGGAGACAGUGGACCAUCUUUUUGUGCAUUGCCCUUUUGUGGGCCCGAUUUGGGUGGAUAUGUUGAGCAGCUUUCACAUGAUGUGGUCUACUUUGAUGUCAGCGGGUUGUUUGUUGUAUGCUUGGCAUGGAGUGGGCCUAGGGAAAGAGAGUGCCUCGGAGAAUGUCUUUGCUUGCAAUUUGGUGUGAUGUUUGGGAAGAAAAAUGCUAGGUGCUUCAAUAAUUUUAGUAGGUCAUAGGAGAGCAUUUCCUAGAGGGCUAGAGGGCUGGUAAUUGAAUGGGCGUGUAGUGUUUCAAAAUUAAAGGGUUGUAAUUUGGAUAUUCUUGGGUAGUGUCCGGUUGCUCUCUCAUUGCCCCUUUAUGUUGUUGCUUUUGUUCUUUUUUCUUUUAGUUCUUUAAUAAAAUUCUCAUUAUCUUUCAAAAUAAUAAUAAUAAUAAUAAUUCUGGAGCACCCUUUCCUUGGA
Long non-coding RNA from Magnolia sinica, 1837 nucleotides. RefSeq lists it as uncharacterized. The transcript has 2 exons. Lineage: Eukaryota; Viridiplantae; Streptophyta; Magnoliopsida; Magnoliales; Magnoliaceae. The record is from RefSeq and is a predicted model, not a curated record.